UUAAAAAAUUAUUUUUAAAAAUGGCCACCACAUAUGCUCAAAUGGUCCCUGUGAGGUCCUAUGCCUUGCCAGGCCUCAAGAGAGGCCUUUUGAGCAUGUGUGGCAAUCUCCAAAAUGGCCUCUACACUGAUCUUUGUAGGCCCAAACAGGCCUGAAAAUUAGCCCGAGACAGGCUGCGGCAGUGAUCUAAGAGGUCAGCGGCGGGAGGGGGAACCUUUGCAGGACCCCCCCUCCCCCGCGGCCUUUAGGAAGCCCUCCGAAGGGGCUACAGGAACAAUUUCCUCACUGAUGGUCUGUUUAAGAACUGCUGAACGUUCACCAUGGAAACUCUGCAUAUUGAAGACGUAAUUCUAGGGCACACUUCCAUGCAAUUUUAUGCAAGACAGCAGUCGGGCCUAUUGCCUUUCGUCAUGAACUGUAAGUAGAUUCUAGAACAGUGAUCUUCACUAUUUUUCAAGUAGGGGCGACUUUGGCAAAAACACUCCACCAAAAACCCCUGAGUGUGAAAGCUGUGUUCCUCCAUGCAGUGCUGCACUUUCCCCUAGAGCUGGGAGGGCUCUCAAGAGAAACAGUGACUAGCUGAGCCAUAGUGCUAUCUUGGAAGGUCUGAACCUUCCCAUAGAGCUCUAUGGGGGGAAACAACAAGAAGCACUACACUUCCCACCAUGCCCUUCCAAGAUGUCACUGGGGCUCACGAGGCUCUGUUUCCAGACCCAUCAACACUUGGCAAAGCUCAGCACUACAUUCUGCACAGGCAUAAAAACCAAUCAGGGAGCUGCACUUAGGGUCAAUGGGGGCUGCCACUGGCUAGGCCUUGCAAUGAACACUGCCUAGAACUUAAGCAACACACUCUUGAGACUACGCAUUGCAGGUAAAGGUUGUGCCUGUUUAGAUGUAACAUGGAUCCAGGAUUCAGUCCUGUCUUUAUGCGACGUCUCCUAGAGGUGGGAUCACCUGAUCCCCAUUUGUGAGGCUCUGAAGAAUUAUUUGUCAAAUUCUGUUUUAGAUCAAUCCAGGAUUGCUCUUCUGAACUGAGCAAUCCUGGCUUGUUCUAAAGCAGAACUGGAAGUGGACUUUUUUGUUUGAGCCUCACAUAUGAAUUGUGGGGGUGGGGGUGGACAGGUUCCUGAGGCUAGGAGAUACAGUUGUCCCUCGCCAACUGCGGGUUUCCCAAUCGUGGUUUUGAGUAUCUGUGCCUGGGAAAUUGUGGCAGGUCUCGCCAAUGGCAACCUGAGUAUCCUGAGUUUGACAAGUUUUUAUUUCAAUUUGGGUUUGGGGUUUGGGUUUUUUUUGUGAUUUCUGGGGUCAGGUGUCAUUUUGGGGGUCCCCUUCACUUCUCUUAUUGACUCCUGGUGAUUUGGGGAGAUUUCUCCCUAUUGUUUUUUACUGCUUUUUUUUUUUUUUGCAACCAUGAUUCCCCUAACCCCAUUUGCUAUUGAUUACAAUGGCUUGUCUACCGCAAAUUCGCCAACCGCAAGGUUUUCCCGGAACGGCACCCUCGCAGUUGGCAAGGGACGACUGUAUUGAGCGAAGCCAGGAUUUAAUCCUUAAUCCGUCUUACCUAUGAACCAGCCCAUAGGUUGCGACAGACAAGCUAUCCUUCAGGGAGACUUCUCUGCCAUUACUGAUCAUUAAAGAACCUGACAAGACCCAGAGAAAUUCCACACUUCCCUGCAACACAGUGGGUUGGUCAAGAUGAGAUGCUGGCUACAACACAUGAUCAGGACCAGUGUUCCCAGAUGUUGUUUACUACAACUCCCAGCAUCCCCAGUUGCAACAGCCUUUGCUUGGGAAUUAUGGGAGUUUUAAUCAACAUCUGGGAAUUCCUAUUAGAGGGAACACUGAUCAGGACAGGGUCAUGCUGAGAGUGUGCCUGCAGAAUGUUCCAACACACUAUCAGGGCAUCCAUUAAUUUUAUGAAGGAGAAUUCAGAUGAAUAUUCUCCUCACAUACUUAAGGAAUGCCCUGGCAAUCAGCUGCUAACUAGGCAAAAUGUUCCCUGCUAAUGUCUCUUUGGAACUCUCUUCCCCUUCAGAUUCGUUUAGCCCCUUCCUUACUGAUUUUCAAAUCUCUAUUGAAGACUUUUCUUUUUUGCCAGGGUUUUGCCCUGUAGUUUACCUAUUUGUGUUUUUUUGUCUUGUUUUUUUUGUUAGUUACUUUAGUUAUUAAUUUAGAAUGUAAUUUUUAAUGUCUUGUUUUGCAUGUUUUUGUGCACCGCCCAGAGUCUUUGGAGUGGGCGCUAUAUUAAGUAUUUCAAACAAACAAACAAACAAGGCAAAGAGGCACCUUUCUAAGUGGUGAUCCUCUUAUAUUUAGCGAAGGGAAAGCAACUGGCCCUAUUCGACCCCAGCACUGCACCCCUCUAGUGGCUGCUGCUGGUGUCUACUUCGUAUUUCUUUUUGGAUUACAAGCCCUUUUGGGGAUAGGGAACCAUCUUAUUAUUAUUAGUUUUCUCUGUUAACUGCUUUGAGAGCUGUUUGUUGAAAAGCGGUAUACAAAUAGCAGUAAAUAGUAGUAGUGACAGCAUUUCACAAUGUUCUCCGGUGAUGUCAGGGUGGGCGCAGUCUCAGUCUCAGUGAGACCUCAUCCUGAUCAUGUUUUGCAGCCAGCAGUUUGUCCAAGCCUGUCCAGUAUGAAACUCUCUGUAGCCCAGUAUCACAGCCCAAAUGCCAGGGUAGGGUGGUGCCAGGAAGGAAACAGAAAUAUUUGAUAUUAUGACUGAGCAGAAAUGAUUAUUUCAGUUCAGGUCAUUUAAGGAACGUUUAAUCAAGCCAAGUUUGUUCCACAGCUUUCUCCCUCUUUAAAAAAAAAAGGGCACAAAAGACUGUGUUGGACUAUGUCAUACAUACUAUCACUUUGUCUUAGUCCUUAGUCAAACAAAAACCAUAAUUAUGACAUAACAGAAAUCCCCCCCCCCACUCAACUCUGAUCUUUCUAAUGCUCUGUAAUAACUGAAAUUAAUUGUUUGUUUUAGAAAGGUCAUUGAUGUGGAUGUUAGUAAGAGGAAAAUAAAGCCCUUUAUUUCUAUAUAGUCUAUAAUACACUAUGUUAUUUUGUCAAACCUCUUGAAUGAAGUGUGCUGGACAGUUUCUACGGGGAAAUGUCUCUUCACUUUCCUUUCCUAGGUUAUUUGUAUUCCAUUUCACAGCCUGAUUUCACUGCAUAAAGGGCAAGGAAAGUUUACUGAACAGAGAGACCUCAGAGUCUAAAAUAUCAAACAGUGAGGUGACCUCAAAGAAAAUUCCUUUAGGGGGGAAAAGGUGUGUGUGUGGGGGGCAAGAAUAGAGAAAAGCACACGCACACACAUACCCAAACAGAAGUAUGGUUUCCUUACAAGCCCUGGCUGGUUCACUCCACCCAUAUCAGCCUCUGUGGUAACACAUGUUUCCUAUGAAUCUAUAUUAAGAUGAAUUUCAACCUACAAAUAACUAGAUACAGCUAUGCCGUAGGAGGGAAUUCCUCCAGAAUGAUGUCAAGUUUCUUAAGCAGGCAAAUUAAAAAUAGCACAUAAAACCUGACCAGCCAUCUUGGCUCUGAAUCCACCAACACAUUUGGGAAACAUUAUCAGGUUUAUCGUAGGUGGGUGGGGGAACAUAUCACAGUAAAUCUGCUUCUGUUUAUAUACCAUUUUAUUAUUCAUUUUUGACAUUUCCCUUUAUUCUUCAACCAGUUCCUCCCUUGCCCCCAGCAAAUAAACAUUAGCCUGCGCUGAAAUGCAAAACAGUGUUGGACUCCUCUCCCACUCCACAUGUGAAAGACUAGAAAGAGCCAAUUUGAACCACAAAUUGAAAAGUUACCAUUUGCUCUAGUUUCUAAGAAAUGCAAAUACAAGAAAACUUUGGAGGCCACUGCAGUUACUCAGCUAAAAAGUAAAAAGGAAGUAACCCACGCUUGAUGCGAAGUGGACUAGACAGGUUAGACGUGUCACAGGAUAUCUUGUAUACAGAAUAUUAUGCAAUAUAACUUUCAAGAAAAGGUUGCUAUACCAAAAACAAGGAUGCAAAUGGACCACAUACUGUUCUGAUCCACCAGGAGAUCAUUUUCUUAAAGAUAAAAAAGCUGCAAAUUCCCAAGCGACAUAAAAUGUUUCUUAAUUGUAUGAAGAAAGUAUCUGGAAGCCAGCUGAUACAGACCAGCUAAAAUGCUGGCUAUAACUAAUAUAGGAGGGCUGAUGUGAUUGAAACUUUUUGUAGGAGAAAGUAGCCAGAUGAGGAAAAAGUCAUUUUCAGAUUGCAUAAAUUGGCCCGCCUUCAAAUCCCUCAUAUUUUUUUAAAAAAGGUUCUAUAUGUGUAGAGCCAGUGUACAAUUCGGGGGUGGGGAGGUUCAGGAUCAAAGCUGUCCCAUCUUAGGAUUCUUCUACUAUUUAUGUGCUGGAUGCUACAAGUUGGACCAAUGUGCAUGGAGUUCAUGCAUGUAGACCGGAUCCAUGAGAUUGCUCUUUCCCUCAAGUAUCAGCAGCAACAAGCCAUAUCCCAAAGUAACAUUCAAUGUCUGGAAUUUAUGCGGGCCACAGGACAGGGCAGAUAUAAAUGCAACCCUCCCACUGUAUGUAGUUCUAUACUUGUAGAGCCACAUAUCAAUAGGCAAUUGUGAUGACAGGAACAUAUGUCUGAACAUGCAUUUUAGAAAAAAUAAAUAUGGAGUUGAUGUUCCAGGAUGCAUCAAGUAACCACUGCUUCUUUAUCUGGGCAAAUGCUUUAAAACACCAACAUUUAAGAGGUUCUAUAGCAGGCCUGCUCAACUUAGGCCCCCCAGCUGUUUUUGAACUAAAACUCCCAUAAUCCCCAGCCACAGUGGCCAAUAGCCUGGGAUUAUGGGAAUUGUAGGCCAACAUCUGCAGGAGGGCCGAAGUUGAGCACCCCUGUUCUAUAGCAAUAUUCACAGGCCAACAUCUUGGCUAAUGCUGCACUUGUGCAACAAACCAAGUUAUGCUAGUGCACGAAGAUCAUGUAGCUACUGCUAAAUUCUUUUUCUAAAUCACAGGGAUUUUUUGGAACUGCACUCUGAGACAAAAGAACUGCACUCUGAAAAACAUGAGAGGCAUGUCACAGGUCGUAUGCUUCGUUGUGCAAGGGCAAACAUGUUUGAACUAGCGCAACACUAGCUAGCACAACAUUCUUACACAACUGUUAGGAGGUCAGCCACAGAAUUUGAGGAGAACCUAGUCCAACAUAGUAAAAUGUGAAGCUGUACAUAAAGCAUCUCCUUCAGACUAUCUUUUUUUCUGGUGGUUCUAGUGCCAGAUAAACACUGAAAUAUCAAGAGGCUAAAGCCUUUGACUUCAGAUUAGGCUUAGAAGUCAUUUUGCCUAAAACACCAGAGCAAUUUUUGGUCCACUGCAUUUUUAAUCAAAUUUGAUCAGAAUUGACUGUUGAUCUGUCUGAUGGUUUAAGACAUUUGCUUUCACUUUACAAAAUAUUUUUCUUUGGAGAUACUCACCCCAAAGUGGUAAUUCACACAGAACUGAAUUCUGAGCCCUAUUCACACUUUAUAUUCAAAGCACAUACAGCAGUACACUUCCAAUCUGUACCCUGCAUUUCAGGGAGUCUAUACUCAGGUUCACUUUUAAAAUGAAUAUAUGUACAGUCAUUCACACAAACACAUGUACAUGUGUACAGACACCUGUAUACAUAUACAACACAGUGUCUGAAUAGUGCUAUGGAAAGGGCCCGGUGUGUUUUGUGACAUAUGAACUUCAGUUCCAUAAACCUCUGAAGUCCAUUUGUUGCGCUUACAUCGCUUCAUGUGAUUUUUUUAAUGCUGGAUUUUAUAUAGUUUAAUUGGCCUUAUUUGUAAUUGUUAUAUAAUAUUGUAAAUCACUAGAAACAGCAGUCUUAAGAAUUUUAAAACGGAAUUAAUUAAAAGGGCACAGUUUCCAGGUGGA
Molecule: long non-coding RNA, 5884 nt
Organism: Hemicordylus capensis (graceful crag lizard)
Lineage: Eukaryota; Metazoa; Chordata; Lepidosauria; Squamata; Cordylidae
Exons: 2
Source: RefSeq, a predicted model, not a curated record